RNAcentral lists this ribosomal RNA (546 nucleotides) under Triticum aestivum (bread wheat). RNAcentral describes it as "partial small subunit ribosomal RNA". The record is from RNAcentral. Lineage: Eukaryota; Viridiplantae; Streptophyta; Magnoliopsida; Poales; Poaceae.
AUGGGAUUUGUUAAAUUGAAUGUGGAUGCUUCUUUUGAUCAUGAUCAGCUAAGGGGCACAACGGGUGCUGUUAUCAGAGAUGAUAAAGGAAACUUCAUAGCAGGUGGUAACUGGAAGAUUCAAUACUGUGCGGAUGCUCUGACAGCGGAGGCAUUAGCACUCAGGUUUGGUUUAGUGUUGGCACGAAAAACAGGUUGCAAUCAUCUCAUUGUCAAUUCUGAUAAUAUGGAAGUCAUUGACACAAUGAAGAAUGGUGGACAGCUUGCGGGAGCGGCGACUGCAAUUUUUGAGGAUUGUUUUUUUAUGGCCUCUGAUUUUCCACAAACCAGUUUUGAACAUUGUAAUAGAGAAGCGAACAAAGUAUCUCAUGAGCUUGCUAGAUUAGCAAAAUGUUCCAUGACUAGGGAUUGGAUAGAGGAGCCCAUGGAAAUGUUGGGAAUCGUUGCAUGGAAAAACAAAAAAAAUCUGCGCACACACAAUGAUCUAUCCAUGGAGAUUCAUAGCAACGAGGGGAAGAGUGUGCCUACGUACCCUCGUAGACCGUAA